Molecule: ribosomal RNA, 497 nt
Filed under: uncultured bacterium
Lineage: Bacteria
Description: partial 16S ribosomal RNA
Rfam family: Bacterial small subunit ribosomal RNA
Source: RNAcentral
GAUGAACGCUGGCGGCGUGCCUAAUACAUGCAAGUCGAGCGAACAGACGAGGAGCUUGCUCCUCUGACGUUAGCGGCGGACGGGUGAGUAACACGUGGAUAACCUACCUAUAAGACUGGGAUAACUUCGGGAAACCGGAUCUAAUACCGGAUAAUAUAUUGAACCGCAUGGUUCAAUAGUGAAAGACGGUUUUGCUGGCACUUAUAGAUGGAUCCGCGCCGCAUUAGCUAGUUGGUCAGGUAACGGCUUACCAAGGCGACGAUGCGUAGCCGACCUGAGAGGGUGAUCGGCCACACUGGAACUGAGACACGGUCCAGACUCCUACGGGAGGCAGCAGUAGGGAAUCUUCCGCAAUGGGCGAAAGCCUGACGGAGCAACGCCGCGUGAGUGAUGAAGGUCUUCGGAUCGUAAAACUCUGUUAUUAGGGAAGAACAAAUGUGUAAGUAACUAUGCACGUCUUGACGGUACCUAAUCAGAAAGCCACGGCUAACUACGUG